GUCGGGAGUUAGGAAAUGCAAGGGCGUUAAUAGCGCCUUUGUUUGACUAAGGCUCCAGAGGAAGCCACGGCUAACUCUGUGCCAGCAGCCGCGGUAAUACAGAGGCGGCAAGCGUUGUACGGAAUUAUUGGGCGUAAAGAGCACGUAGGCGGCCUUGCAAGUCAGUUGUGAAAGCCUUCCGCUCAACGGAAGAAUGCCGGCUGAUACUACAGGGCUUGAGUACGGGAGGGGAGAGUGGAACUUCUGGU
Molecule: ribosomal RNA, 248 nt
Filed under: uncultured anaerobic ammonium-oxidizing bacterium
Lineage: Bacteria
Description: partial 16S ribosomal RNA
Rfam family: Bacterial small subunit ribosomal RNA
Source: RNAcentral